AGGGCCGGGAUGCGGUGCAGUGUU
Molecule: microRNA, 24 nt
Filed under: Alligator mississippiensis (American alligator)
Lineage: Eukaryota; Metazoa; Chordata; Crocodylia; Alligatoridae
Also listed under: 1 other name
Description: ami-miR-92b-3p
Gene: ami-miR-92b-3p
Source: miRBase by way of RNAcentral